RNAcentral lists this ribosomal RNA (492 nucleotides) under uncultured bacterium. RNAcentral's name for it is "partial 16S ribosomal RNA". It matches the Rfam family "Bacterial small subunit ribosomal RNA", at positions 29 to 507 of the family's 1533-position model. The record is from RNAcentral.
AGUGAACGCUGGCGGUAGGCCUAACACAUGCAAGUCGAACGGCAGCACAGUAAGAGCUUGCUCUUACGGGUGGCGAGUGGCGGACGGGUGAGGAAUACAUCGGAAUCUACUUUUUCGUGGGGGAUAACGUAGGGAAACUUACGCUAAUACCGCAUACGACCUACAGGUGAAAGCAGGGGAUCUUCGGACCUUGCGCGAUUGAAUGAGCCGAUGUCGGAUUAGCUAGUUGGCGGGGUAAAGGCCCACCAAGGCGACGAUCCGUAGCUGGUCUGAGAGGAUGAUCAGCCACACUGGAACUGAGACACGGUCCAGACUCCUACGGGAGGCAGCAGUGGGGAAUAUUGGGCAAUGGGCGCAAGCCUGAUCCAGCCAUGCCGCGUGGGUGAAGAAGGCCUUCGGGUUGUAAAGCCCUUUUAUUAGGAAAGAAAAGCAGCGGGUUAAUACCCCGCUGUUCUGACGGUACCCAAAGAGUAAGCACCGGCUAACUUCGUG